CAGUAGCCGCGGGAAUACGGAGGGGGCUAGCGUUGUUCGGAAUCACUGGGCGUAAAGGGAGCGUAGGCGGCGUGGUAAGUCAGAUGUGAAAUCCCGGGGCUCAACCCCGGAACUGCAUCCGAUACUGCCAUGCUAGAGGAUUGGAGAGGUAGCUGGAAUUCUUGGUGUAGCAGUGAAAUGCGUGGAGAUCAAGAGGAACACUCGCGGCGAAAGCGAGCUACUGGACAAUAACUGACGCUGAGGCUCGAAGGCCAGGGUAGCGAAAGGGAUUAGAGACCCCCGUAGUCCCUGUCUCUUAUAA
Molecule: ribosomal RNA, 301 nt
Filed under: uncultured bacterium
Lineage: Bacteria
Description: partial 16S ribosomal RNA
Rfam family: Bacterial small subunit ribosomal RNA
Source: RNAcentral